CAGUCGACGGAAACAAUUGGUACUUGUACAAGGUGUCGAGUGGCGAACGGGUGAAUAAUAUAUAGCUAACCUGCCCCUUAGAGAGGGACAACAGUUGGAAAACGACUGCUAAUGCCCCAUAUUCCUUUAUACUUAAUGUAUAUUGGGAAACGAAUUUUGCCAAAGGAUGAGACUAUAUGGUAUCAGGUAGUUGGUGGGGUAAGAGCCUACCAAGCCUAUGACGCCUAGCUGGUCUGAGAGGAUGAUCAGCCACACUGGAACUGAGACACGGUCCAGACUCCUACGGGAGGCAGCAGUGGGGAAUAUUGCACAAUGGACGAAAGUCUGAUGCAUCCACCGCGCGUGGAGGAUGACGCAUUUCGGUGCGUAAACUCCUUUUAUAUGGGAAGAUAAUGACGGUACCAUAUGAAUAAGCACCGGCUAACUCCGUGCCAGCAGCCGCGGUAAUACGGAGGGUGCAAGCGUUACUCGGAAUCACUGGGCGUAAAGCGCAUGCAGGCGGUCUACUAAGUUGGACGUGAAAUCCUAUGGCUCAACCAUCGAACUGCUUCCAAAACUGUUAGACUAGAGUUCUGGGAGAGGAAGAUGGAAUUAGUUGUGUAGGGGUAAAAUCCGUAGAGAUAACUAGGAAUACCAAAAGCGAAGGCGAUCUUCUGGAAGAGUACUUACGCUGAGAUGCGAAGGCGUGGGGAGCAAACAGGAUUGGAUACCCUGGUAGUCCACGCAGUAAACGAUGAAUGUUAGUCGUCGGGUAGCAAGUCUAUUCGGUGAUGCAGUUAACACAUUAAACAUUCCGCCUGGGGAGUACGGUCGCAAGAUUAAAACUCAAAGGAAUAGACGGGGACCCGCACAAGCGGUGGAGCAUGUGGUUUAAUUCGAAAAUACGCGAAGAACCUUACCUAGACUUGAAAUCCUUGGAAUCUUGCAGAGAUGCGAGAGUGCUAGUUUACUAGAACCAAGUGACAGGUGCUGCACGGCUGUCGUCAGCUCGUGUCGUGAGAUGUUGGGUUAAGUCCCGCAACGAGCGCAACCCUCGUGAUUAGUUGCUAACAGUUCGGCUGAGCACUCUAAUCAGACUGCCUUCGUAAGGAGGAGGAAGGUGAGGACGACGUCAAGUCAUCAUGGCCCUUAUGUCUAGGGCUACACACGUGCUACAAUGGUUGGGACAAAGAGCAGCGAUACCGCGAGGUGGAGCAAAUCUUAAAACCCAAUCUCAGUUCGGAUUGGAGUCUGCAACUCGACUCCAUGAAGCUGGAAUCGCUAGUAAUCGUAGAUCAGCAAUGCUACGGUGAAUACGUUCCCGGGUCUUGUACUCACCGCCCGUCACACCAUGGGAGUUGAUUUCACUCGAAGCCGGAAUACUAAAUUAGUUACCGUCCACAGU
Molecule: ribosomal RNA, 1384 nt
Filed under: uncultured prokaryote
Description: partial 16S ribosomal RNA
Rfam family: Bacterial small subunit ribosomal RNA
Source: RNAcentral